This 127-nucleotide small nucleolar RNA is filed under the name Propithecus coquereli (Coquerel's sifaka). Its description in RNAcentral is "Small nucleolar RNA SNORA70 (ENSPCOG00000013202.1)". It matches the Rfam family "Small nucleolar RNA SNORA70". From Rfam's summary of the family: snoRNA U70 seems to be exclusive to mammals and is a member of the H/ACA class of snoRNA which contain H (ANANNA) and ACA box motifs. H/ACA box snoRNAs are involved in the conversion of uridines to pseudouridines (5-ribosyluracil) a constituent of structural RNAs (transfer, ribosomal, small nuclear, and small nucleolar). The record is from Rfam by way of RNAcentral. Lineage: Eukaryota; Metazoa; Chordata; Mammalia; Primates; Indriidae.
CCGCAUCCAAUUUAGCUGACCAUGCUUCUUUCCUCAUGGGGCCAGGCGUGCAAUGGUUGCAAACCCCUUGGUAGUGUAUGCAGUCUGUUGCUUGUAUGUAUUGAUAUAAGAGGCCUUGGAGACAGCC